UGAAAAAGUUGCGCCCUCAAAUUCAAGAGGCUAUUUCUUCAAAAUAGUCAGUCGUCAGUGGUCAAGCCUUUGGUCAUUCAACUGGUGAGUGGCUCACUGUUUUCUAUCUGAACCACCAAUGGUAGCGGGUCAGUCACGUGCUGCACCCUAGGAGAGGUGUGAUUUUCUGGUGACGGCGUGCGGUUCUUAUCUAACGAUGUACGUGAACGCAGUGAUCCGUCUGCCGAAAAUCUCGGAGACCUUUCCGGUGACUCAGCUUGCUGCCUUACUCUAUUCUCACCUACUCCUGAGAACUCCUAUUGUCAGGGCGCCAUGGACGACUGGAAACUAUUCUCCCUCUUCUCCAAUCGUUUCCCUCCUCUUUGGCGUCUAAAUCUGACGUCACUGGUUGUAAUGUCGGUUCCGAUCACCGUUGCUGUCAGUCAACCCGAUAAUGCUGCUCCAUAUCUGCAUAGUCUUUACUCUUGACGGAGACUGUACCUUUCCCAAGCGCGUCUAAUUUCCACUUAAACCUCGCGCUGGGAGAAUACAGACGGCCCUCUCCACUCAGCGGUUGACGAAGGGGAGAUUUUUAUCUCUCACUACCCGAAAAUUAGUCGUGAUAGUCACGUGCAGAUUGAUCCCGAAAAUGAUGGCGUUCGUCUUAAUCUCUUUCUCUGUAAGUUUCGUCACGUGGGUCAAUCCAGUUCCUUCGAUGCUUUUAAAAAAAUUCAUCAGGGUAUAACGAAAUUUCUCUCGCUGUACAAUAUUUAAAGCUCUCCUUUCCGAUGACAUUCUUUAAAAUAAAUAAAUCUUUCCGUUUUUCCUUUUACAUGCUGGACACUCAUCACCAGAUUUCUUCGUUCUUUUAUCAAUCCUGUAACAGUAAACACAAAACAACACCUAAAAUAUGAUUUUCGUAAACCAUGGGAUUUGGACAGUACCAGUUUAGACGGGGUAUUUAAGGGAGGAUGGGAUUGACAAAAACCUUUAGAAACAUUUCUAGAGAUAAAGAUUAAAUAAAUCGAUAAUCGAUAAUUCAUAUUUUUAACCAUUUUUCAUUCAUUGUUUGCAAUAAAGAUUACGUUAUUGACCAUAUAAUUUUUUUUAGGUUAUUAAGUUAUAAGCUCCUCCCCCUCUAGGCCCUUUUAUUUUCCAACUUUAUCCCACAACAUUGUCAAAAUUCCCUCUUCCUUCCAAAAUAAAAUUCUAUUUAACCUCACAUCCUAAAAUUUGUUUUUUUGUGUUGCAUUGUAGACAAAUGAAUUAUCUACAUAUCGAGUUCAUUUCUUUUUUAUUUACUUAAAUAUCUUGGAUUCUAC
Daphnia magna is the source of this 1301-nucleotide long non-coding RNA. RefSeq lists it as uncharacterized. Lineage: Eukaryota; Metazoa; Arthropoda; Branchiopoda; Diplostraca; Daphniidae. The record is from RefSeq and is a predicted model, not a curated record. The transcript is spliced from 2 exons.